GGCGAUUAGCUCAGUUGGGAGAGCACCUCCCUUACAAGGAGGGGUCACUGGUUCGAGACCGGUAUCGCCACCA
This 73-nucleotide transfer RNA is filed under the name Haemophilus influenzae. RNAcentral describes it as "tRNA-Val". It matches the Rfam family "tRNA". Rfam says of the family: Transfer RNA (tRNA) molecules are approximately 80 nucleotides in length. Their secondary structure includes four short double-helical elements and three loops (D, anti-codon, and T loops). Further hydrogen bonds mediate the characteristic L-shaped molecular structure. tRNAs have two regions of fundamental functional importance: the anti-codon, which is responsible for specific mRNA codon recognition, and the 3' end, to which the tRNAs corresponding amino acid is attached (by aminoacyl-tRNA synthetases). tRNAs cope with the degeneracy of the genetic code in two manners: having more than one tRNA (with a specific anti-codon) for a particular amino acid; and 'wobble' base-pairing, i.e. permitting non-standard base-pairing at the 3rd anti-codon position. The record is from RNAcentral. Lineage: Bacteria; Pseudomonadati; Pseudomonadota; Gammaproteobacteria; Pasteurellales; Pasteurellaceae.